RNAcentral lists this ribosomal RNA (440 nucleotides) under uncultured bacterium. RNAcentral's name for it is "partial 16S ribosomal RNA". It matches the Rfam family "Bacterial small subunit ribosomal RNA", at positions 338 to 795 of the family's 1533-position model. The record is from RNAcentral.
CCUACGUGUGGCAGCAGUGGGGAAUAUUGCACAAUGGGGGAAACCCUGAUGCAGCGACGCCGCGUGAAGGAUGAAGUAUUUCGGUAUGUAAACUUCUAUCAGCAGGGAAGAAAAUGACGGUACCUGACUAAGAAGCCCCGGCUAAAUACGCGCCAGCAGCCGCGGUAAUACGUAUGGGGCAAGCGUUAUCCGGAUUUACUGGGUGUAAAGGGAGCGCAGGCGGCCUGCCAAGUCUGGUGUGAAAACCCGGGGCCCAACCCCGGGCCUGCAUUGGAAACUGGCGGGCUGGAGUGUCGGAGGGGCAGGCGGAAUUCCUAGUGUAGCGGUGAAAUGCGUAGAUAUUAGGAGGAACACCGGUGGCGAAGGCGGCCUGCUGGACGAUGACUGACGCUGAGGCUCGAAAGCGUGGGGAGCAAACAGGAUUAGAUACCCCAGUAGUC